GAAAGUAGUAGGAAAUCAAAAGGUCAUACAUUAAUAGUAAUUAAAAAAAUAAUAAAUUGUAUUUAUUACAAUAAAUAUAACAAAAAUUGUAUUUAUUAUAUGAGAAAGUAGUAGGAAAUCAAAAUGUCAUACAUUAAUAAGGUCAUACAUUAAUAAUGAUGAAAAAAAUAAUAAAUUGUAUUUAUUACAAUAAAUAUAAUAAAAAUUGUAUUUAUUAAAUGAGAAAGUAGUAGGAAAUCAAAAGGUCAUACAUUAAUAGUGAUUAAAAAAUAAUAAAUUGUAUUUAUUACUGUUGACUUAUUUAACUAAUCCUAGCUGAUUCUAGAGAUUUGAUUUGAUCUAAUUAGGAUCCUUAAUUAUCUCUGUAAUUAUUAUUUGAUUAUUUACUUCCUGUUUAGAUAUGAUUCUCUGUGUAUAAAUAGUCAUGUAGACCAAUUGUAAAGAUUAAGAGUGAAAUACAAAAAUACUCAAAAUUNN
This 477-nucleotide long non-coding RNA is filed under the name Manihot esculenta (cassava). RNAcentral's name for it is "long non-coding RNA (MESC_LNC007661)". Lineage: Eukaryota; Viridiplantae; Streptophyta; Magnoliopsida; Malpighiales; Euphorbiaceae. The record is from RNAcentral.